RNAcentral lists this long non-coding RNA (110 nucleotides) under Fukomys damarensis (Damara mole-rat). RNAcentral describes it as "T-cell leukemia/lymphoma 6 conserved region 2 (ENSFDAG00000020593.1)". It matches the Rfam family "T-cell leukemia/lymphoma 6 conserved region 2". Lineage: Eukaryota; Metazoa; Chordata; Mammalia; Rodentia; Bathyergidae. The record is from RNAcentral.
GUUUUCCAUGCCCAUGUGCUUAUGGGCUCCAUCCAGCCAACCUCCGUCAAAUGUUCACUUGACUCCCCUUAAACUCACACAAUAAGAAACCAGUGACAGAAAAGACAUUU